GUCAUUUUUCACCGUUUUGAAAUACCGACCUUGCGAGAAAUCAAAUUUGAUUUGGAUUUUAAUUUUAAUUCUUACCACUAGAUGUAUUGUUAUCUUAUUCUGUGCUGAAUCGAUAUUAGCGAAAAUGCUACAAAAAAUAUAAGAGAGUUCGGUAGCCCUCGAACUAUUUUAGCAAUAGGGAAUUGGAUAUUAGAUCUAUGUUACGUAUUGUAUAUGGUCGUACGUGUGUUAUAUUAUUGUACGUACACAAUAUAUAAGUACGAAGUGUACAAACUUCGUUGAGUAGCACGUGAAUUUAUUCAGGUUAUGUCAGGAUAUAGACUCUAGUUAUGUGAUUGUACUGAAUGAUUAAAAUAUUUAUUAAAUUAACUUCCUUAUGAAUUAUAGUAAAUAUUAAUAACAAAUAACAUGAAAUUCUCUACUAAUUCAAUAAAAUCUUGUGCUGCCCGUAUUGGGACGUUGGCAGAAUUUGAAAGAAUUCCUAAUACCACUUUUGAAACUCCUCUUGCUCUUAUUUAUACAAAGGGAGGUUGUGUGCCGCAUUUAACUAAAGAUGUUUUUAAAAUGGUUACUCCAGACCCACAAAUGUUAUCCGUUUCUCUUUCUUCCACGUAUUUAAUGUUGGAAUCAAUGAAGGAUAAUAAUGUUAAUUUUGCAAAUUUUGUGGGUAUGAAGGAGUACAUUAAUUUUGUUACAAUGCAUGACCCAGCCUAUACGACGCCUUUAGGUUUUCGAGAAGCUAAUUCUAUUCCUGUAUGGACAAGAAGUGGAAAAUUUACAUUAACACCCAAUAUGUAUAUGAAUGUUAUUGAGACAUUUAAACCAGACAUGUAUGUUGCUUUGUGUGAUGGAGAUACUAAUAUCAAUAGUAGUAAAAAAAGGGUAUCAAAUUCUGUACGAAAUAGCAUGACAUUCUUUGAUCAAUGUUUUACUAAACAUACUUCAUCUGAAGCAUUGAAGUCCUCUGAAAUAUUAGGUGCAAUUGAAGGUGGUUAUGAUAAAGAUGCUAGAACAAUAUCAAUAAAUUAUUUAAAAACUAAACCUGUAAUGGGAUAUGUGAUAGAUGGAUUGCAUAAUAAUGGACCAGAUGUAAAGAAUAUACCAUCAGAACAAAUCAGAGAAAUAGUACAACACACAAUUAAUCUUUUACCUCCUGAAAAGCUUAAGGUAUCAAUGGGAUGUUGGAAUCCCCUUACAGUAUUAGAUCUUGUUGAAUUAGGUACAGAUAUAUUUGAUACUUCAUACCCUUAUAUAAUUACUGAAAAUUUAAAAGCUUUAACUUUCCUAUGUGAUCAUGAUGACUGUAAUAAUGUAGGUCAUACAAUAUCAUUUAUAGAAGAAAGCAGAUAUGCGGAUGACUUUUCUCCAAUAUGUUCUCAUUGUGAAUGUCUAACAUGUAAAAAUCAUACCAAAGCAUAUCUAUAUCAUCUAUGUAAUGUUAAGGAAAUGCUUGGCACUGUUCUUUUAAUGAUACACAAUGUACAUCAAUAUCUCGAAUUUUUUAAGAUUAUUCGAGAAAGCAUAAAAUGUGGCGUUCUUGAUGAUUGCAAAAAGAAAAUUAAUUUAAAAUUUAAGCAAGGCAAUGUCGCUGAAGCAGAUGAACCUACAGAUAUAAAAGGAACUAGAUCUUCUAGUUCAUAACACAGCUUUAAAAAAGUAUUAAUGUUUAAUGAUAAAUUAUUUUUGCAUUCUACUUUUAUAAAACUAUGAUAUAAUAAGAAUAUUAUACUAAUUAUAUAUUAUACUAAUAAGAAUAUUAGUAUAGAUUUGAUGAAAUAAUAAUUAUUCAGUAUACAGAGGCGGUUUUAUAGGGAGUAGUCUAUGUAUCGUGUCAUGUAAUGGUUUCUCAGCCUCUAAUUGCGCUACAGCGCAAUCACCGCAUAAAUCAAUUCCAUCUUGGCAUUCUGUGCAAUGCCAUCUUGUACCUGUUAGAGGGUCUUCUCCACAAACUGAACACUGUAAAAAUAAACCAUUAAACUUUAAA
This is an RNA transcript of Bombus pyrosoma, 1984 nucleotides long. It is a transcript of the gene named queuine tRNA-ribosyltransferase accessory subunit 2, with no coding region annotated. The record is from RefSeq and is a predicted model, not a curated record. NCBI's taxonomy places the organism in Eukaryota, Metazoa, Arthropoda, Insecta, Hymenoptera, Apidae. The transcript has 7 exons.